This 405-nucleotide long non-coding RNA is filed under the name Gossypium raimondii (Peruvian cotton). Its description in RNAcentral is "long non-coding RNA (GRAI_LNC007603)". Lineage: Eukaryota; Viridiplantae; Streptophyta; Magnoliopsida; Malvales; Malvaceae. The record is from RNAcentral.
UUUUUUUCUCUCAACAGCCCUCUCAGGCCGGCCAUCGGGCCACGUGGCGGCCGCCAGUUACCGGUCCAAAUUGCUUUUAUAGCCAUUUUAUACAAUUUUUAUAGCCAUUUUAUACAAUUUUUAUAUAGAUUUUUUCUUUGUAUCUGAUUCUGUCUUUUCUUUGUAGGAGCAGUUGGUGGUAGAGGAGUUGGUGGCUGACGUGGGAGGAGUGGUGGUGCCAGAGUAGAGAUUUAGGGUGCGGUGGCUAGGGUUAGAUUAGCUAUUAGGGUUUCUUUUGUUUUGCUAAAACUGGUUAAGUGUUUUGGGCCAUUGGGCCUCUUUUUUCAUUUGGGCUUUAAUAUUUUUAUUUUAGUUUGUAAUUUAUUUUUCAUUUAUUUGUAGAAUUGGGCCCGGGCGAAAUUGGGC